RNAcentral lists this ribosomal RNA (253 nucleotides) under uncultured bacterium. Its description in RNAcentral is "partial 16S ribosomal RNA". It matches the Rfam family "Bacterial small subunit ribosomal RNA", at positions 524 to 776 of the family's 1533-position model. The record is from RNAcentral.
UACGAAGGGUGCAAGCGUUACUCGGAAUUACUGGGCGUAAAGCGUGCGUAGGUGGUUUGUUAAGUCAGAUGUGAAAGCCCCGGGCUCAACCUGGGAAUUGCAUUCGAUACUGGCGAACUAGAGUGAGGUAGAGGAGAGUGGAAUUCCCGGUGUAGCAGUGAAAUGCGUAGAGAUCGGGAGGAACAUCAGUUGCGAAGGCGGCUCUCUGGACCAUCACUGACACUGAGGCACGAAAGCGUGGGGAGCAAACAGG